AGAGUUUGAUCCUGGCUCAGGAUGAACGCUGGCGGCGUGCUUAACACAUGCAAGUCGAACGGAGUGCCCUUGAAGGAGUUUUCGGACAACAGAUAGGGUUACUUAGUGGCGGACGGGUGAGUAACGCGUGAGGAACCUGCCUUGGAGUGGGGAAUAACAGCUGGAAACAGCUGCUAAUACCGCAUGAUGCAGUUGGGCCGCAUGGCUCUGACUGCCAAAGAUUUAUCGCUCUGAGAUGGACUCGCGUCUGAUUAGCUAGUUGGCGGGGUAACGGCCCACCAAGGCGACGAUCAGUAGCCGGACUGAGAGGUUGGCCGGCCACAUUGGGACUGAGACACGGCCCAGACUCCUACGGGAGGCAGCAGUGGGGAAUAUUGGGCAAUGGGCGCAAGCCUGACCCAGCAACGCCGCGUGAAGGAAGAAGGCUUUCGGGUUGUAAACUUCUUUUGUCAGGGACGAAGCAAGUGACGGUACCUGACGAAUAAGCCACGGCUAACUACGUGCCAGCAGCCGCGGUAAUACGUAGGUGGCAAGCGUUAUCCGGAUUUACUGGGUGUAAAGGGCGUGUAGGCGGGACUGCAAGUCAAAUGUGAAAACCACGGGCUCCACCUGUGGCCUGCAUUUG
Molecule: ribosomal RNA, 625 nt
Filed under: uncultured bacterium
Lineage: Bacteria
Description: bacterial SSU rRNA
Rfam family: Bacterial small subunit ribosomal RNA
Source: RNAcentral